CGCCUCCUGAACAAAAAUAGGAGGUCUAGCCUGCCCAGUGACCACAGUUCAACGGCCGCGGUAUCCUAACCGUGCGAAGGUAGCGUAAUCACUUGUUCUUUAAAUGAGGACUAGUAUGAAUGGCAUCACGAGGGUUAUACUGUCUCCUCUCUCCAAUCAGUAAAACUAUUCUUCCCGUGAAGAAACGGGAAUGCUUUUAUAAGACGAGAAGACCCUAUGGAGCUUUAAAUUUUAUUUCAACUGCUCUCUCAUGUGAACCGCCCCGACCUAUUACACUUAGCUGAGCAUAAUGAUAAUAAAUUUUAGGUUGGGGUGACCGCGGAGCAUAAAAAAACCUCCGCAUAGAACAGGCCUAAGCCUUGAACAAAGAGCUACAACUCCAAGCACUAAUACAUUAACAUCCAUUGACCCAAUAUUUUUGAUCAACGAACCAAGUUACCCUAGGGAUAACAGCGCAAUCUACUUUGAGAGCUCCUAUCGACAAGUAGGUUUACGACCUCGAUGUUGGAUCAGGGUAUCCCAGUGGUGCAGCCGCUACUAAAGGUUCGUUUGUCAAC
RNAcentral lists this ribosomal RNA (557 nucleotides) under Scinax rizibilis. RNAcentral describes it as "partial large subunit ribosomal RNA". It matches the Rfam family "Bacterial large subunit ribosomal RNA", at positions 1816 to 2585 of the family's 2925-position model. Lineage: Eukaryota; Metazoa; Chordata; Amphibia; Anura; Hylidae. The record is from RNAcentral.